This 440-nucleotide ribosomal RNA is filed under the name uncultured bacterium. RNAcentral describes it as "partial 16S ribosomal RNA". It matches the Rfam family "Bacterial small subunit ribosomal RNA", at positions 338 to 795 of the family's 1533-position model. The record is from RNAcentral.
CCUACGGGAGGCAGCAGUGGGGGAUAUUGCACAAUGGGGGGAACCCUGAUGCAGCGACGCCGCGUGGGUGAAGAAGCGCCUCGGCGCGUAAAGCCCUGUCAGCAGGGAAGAAAAUGACGGUACCUGAAGAAGAAGCCCCGGCUAACUACGUGCCAGCAACCGCGGUCAUACGUAGGGGGCAAGCGUUAUCCGGAUUUACUGGGGGUAAAGGGGGCCGAGACGGCGAUGCAAGACAGGAGUGAAAGCCGCGGGCCCAACCCCGGGACUGCUCUUGGAACUGCGUGGCUGGAGUGCAGGAGGGGCAGGCGGAAUUCCUGGUGUAGCGGUGAAAUGCGUAGAUAUCAGGAGGAACACCGGUGGCGAAGGCGGCCUGCUGGACCGCAACUGACGUUGAGGCCCGAAAGCGUGGGGAGCAAACAGGAUUAGAUACCCUAGUAGUC